AAUUUGAGCAAGUGGAAGACAGACGUCUUCUGCCCGGUUGAACCGUGAGAAGUUCGACAGCAGAUCUAAUGAACACAUCUGUGAGACAG
This 89-nucleotide non-coding RNA is filed under the name Facklamia languida CCUG 37842. Lineage: Bacteria; Bacillati; Bacillota; Bacilli; Lactobacillales; Aerococcaceae. The record is from Rfam by way of RNAcentral.